GACGAACGCUGGCGGCGUGCCUAAUACAUGCAAGUAGGACGCACAGUCUAUACCGUAGCUUGCUACACCAUAGGCUGUGAGUUGCGAACGGGUGAGUAACGCGUAGGUAACCUGCCUAUUAGAGGGGGAUAACUAUUGGAAACGAUAGCUAAUACCGCAUAACAGUAUGUAACACAUGUUAGAUGCUUGAAAGAUGCAAUUGCAUCGCUAGUAGAUGGACCUGCGUUGUAUUAGCUAGUAGGUAGGGUAAUGGCCUACCUAGGCGACGAUACAUAGCCGACCUGAGAGGGUGAUCGGCCACACUGGGACUGAGACACGGCCCAGACUCCUACGGGAGGCAGCAGUAGGGAAUCUUCGGCAAUGGGGGGAACCCUGACCGAGCAACGCCGCGUGAGUGAAGAAGGUUUUCGGAUCGUAAAGCUCUGUUGUUAAGGAAGAACGAGUGUGAGAAUGGAAAGUUCAUACUGUGACGGUACUUAACCAGAAAGGGACGGCUAACUACGUG
Molecule: ribosomal RNA, 505 nt
Filed under: uncultured bacterium
Lineage: Bacteria
Description: partial 16S ribosomal RNA
Rfam family: Bacterial small subunit ribosomal RNA
Source: RNAcentral